AGUGAACGCUGGCGGUAGGCCUAACACAUGCAAGUCGAACGGCAGCACAGUAAGAGCUCGCUCUUACGGGUGGCGACUGGCGGACGGGUGAGGAAUACAUCGGCAUCUACUUUUUCGUGGGGGACAACGUAGGGAAACUUACGCUAAUACCGCAUACGACCUACGGGUGAAAGCAGGGGAUCUUCGCACCUUGCGCGAUUCAAUGAGCCGAUGUCGGAUUAGCUAGUUGGCGGGGUAAAGGCCCACCAAGGCGACGAUCCGUAGCUGGUCUGAGAGGAUGAUCAGCCACACUGGAACUGAGACACGGUCCAGACUCCCACGGGAGGCAGCAGUGGGGAAUAUUGGACAAUGGGCGCAAGCCUGAUCCAGCCAUACCGCGUGAGUGAAGAAGGCCUUCGGGUUGUAAAGCCCUUUUGUUGGGAAAGAAAAGCAGCAGGAUAAUACCCCGCUGUUCUGACGGUACCCAAAGAAUAAGCACCGGCUAACUUCGUG
RNAcentral lists this ribosomal RNA (492 nucleotides) under uncultured bacterium. RNAcentral describes it as "partial 16S ribosomal RNA". It matches the Rfam family "Bacterial small subunit ribosomal RNA", at positions 29 to 507 of the family's 1533-position model. The record is from RNAcentral.